GGGGAACCUAGGGAGACAGAAAUAUAUAUUACGACCUCUUUAAAUAAACAAACAAAAAAACAUAUCAAUAAAGUCAUGACUUAUUAUUAUUUCCAUUUCUCUGAUAGUAUUUACAUAAUUAUUCAGUGCAUAAGAUUUGACGAAUAGUAUAAGUAAUCAUAUUUAUUGCUUGGCAGGAUAUAUUUUAUUUUGAAAAUGAGCACAUCCAGACAUAAGCAAGCUCAAGAUCUUUAUGUAUGUGAUGCGUCCCUUUACUAUAAUUUAAUUCAUAAGGAUAUGUAUUUAAUAUAAUUUAAAUACUAUAUAGAGUAGCAUUUGUAAAACAGUCAGCCACCUGUUAGCCCUAAGGUUGCAUAGGUUACACCAUGACUUACAGCACUUCAGGCACUCGAACACUGAGCCCAUGUCGCACUCUCCAGUCGCCCAGUGCCUCACACUUGCCAUGUG
Non-coding RNA from Pelobates cultripes (western spadefoot toad), 447 nucleotides. The record is from the annotation of a GenBank genome assembly. NCBI's taxonomy places the organism in Eukaryota, Metazoa, Chordata, Amphibia, Anura, Pelobatidae.